Molecule: ribosomal RNA, 520 nt
Filed under: uncultured Glomus
Lineage: Eukaryota; Fungi; Glomeromycota; Glomeromycetes; Glomerales; Glomeraceae
Description: SSU rRNA
Rfam family: Eukaryotic small subunit ribosomal RNA
Source: RNAcentral
AGCAGCCGCGGUAAUUCCAGCUCCAAUAGCGUAUAUUAAAGUUGCUGCAGUUAAAAAGCUCGUAGUUGAAUUUCGGGACUAAUAUGUCGGUCGUGCCUCGGUACGUACUGGUUUAUUGGUUUCUCCUUUCUGAAGAACCAUGAUGUCAUUUAUUUGGUGUCGUGGGGAAUCAGGACUGUUACUUUGAAAAAAUUGGAGUGUUUAAAGCAGGCUCACGCUUGAAUACAUCAGCAUGGAAUAAUGAAAUAGGACGUUUGAUUCUAUUUUGUUGGUUUCUAGGAUCGACGUAAUGAUUAAUAGGGAUAGUUGGGGGCAUUAGUAUUCAAUUGUCAGAGGUGAAAUUCUUGGAUUUAUUGAAGACUAACUACUGCGAAAGCAUUUGCCAAGGAUGUUUUCAUUAAUCAAGAACGAAAGUUAGGGGAUCGAAGACGAUCAGAUACCGUCGUAGUCUUAACCAUAAACUAUGCUGACUAGGAAUCAGAUGAUGUUAAUUUUUUAAUGACUCGUUUGGCACCUUACG